This 425-nucleotide ribosomal RNA is filed under the name uncultured bacterium. RNAcentral's name for it is "partial 16S ribosomal RNA". It matches the Rfam family "Bacterial small subunit ribosomal RNA", at positions 354 to 796 of the family's 1533-position model. The record is from RNAcentral.
GUGGGGAAUCUUGCGCAAUGGGCGAAAGCCUGACGCAGCCAUGCCGCGUGGAUGAUGAAGGUCUUAGGAUUGUAAAAUCCUUUCACCGGUGAAGAUAAUGACUGUAGCCGGAGAAGAAGCCCCGGCUAACUUCGUGCCAGCAGCCGCGGUAAUACGAAGGGGGCUAGCGUUGCUCGGAUUUACUGGGCGUAAAGGGCGCGUAGGCGGACAUUUAAGUCAGGGGUGAAAUCCCGGGGCUCAACCUCGGAACUGCCUUUGAUACUGGGUGUCUUGAGUAUGAGAGAGGUGUGUGGAACUCCGAGUGUAGAGGUGAAAUUCGUAGAUAUUCGGAAGAACACCAGUGGCGAAGGCGACACACUGGCUCAUUACUGACGCUGAGGCGCGAAAGCGUGGGGAGCAAACAGGAUUAGAUACCCUUGUAGUCC